UGAGGGAGAGAGAGAGACGACAGAAGUUCCAGCAGCGAGGGACAACAAGAAAACGAGGAUCAUUCCCCGCCACAUUCAGCGCAGAGUAUUCUGGAAUUGACUGGAAACGCAGCGAGGACGACGGUGUGGUUCCGAACGGAGCGAUAGAGAUGUGCCGAACAGCGGCGGACCGUAGCAGUGGCUGUUGCGGCUGCUCAUGACGGACAGUAGCUAUGAUGACGGAGAAUUACACGAGGCAGCGGCGCAAAUUGUGUGAGAGAGGUUGAGCGUGACGGGUGUGGUGGGUGUUGAGCAAGACUGUUGAAGAAAUCUAAGUAUUUAGAAUGUGUCAUGUCUUCACACGUGGCAUAUUCAUUCUCUCAAAUGCUUCCGCUAAGUAGUUGUCCUUCUUUGAGUCCUUGUAUCGCUGAGAUAAUAUCCAUUUUUGAGUUGUUGAUUGUUGAGAUACUCUGAUUUUAUUGGAGCUAUUCCCUUUUGUUUCGAGCAAUGGUC
This is a long non-coding RNA of Salvia splendens (bonfire salvia), 492 nucleotides long. RefSeq lists it as uncharacterized. NCBI's taxonomy places the organism in Eukaryota, Viridiplantae, Streptophyta, Magnoliopsida, Lamiales, Lamiaceae. The transcript is spliced from 2 exons. The record is from RefSeq and is a predicted model, not a curated record.